Molecule: ribosomal RNA, 635 nt
Filed under: Leptographium procerum
Lineage: Eukaryota; Fungi; Ascomycota; Sordariomycetes; Ophiostomatales; Ophiostomataceae
Description: eukaryotic LSU rRNA
Rfam family: Eukaryotic large subunit ribosomal RNA
Source: RNAcentral
UUGACCUCGGAUCAGGUAGGACUACCCGCUGAACUUAAGCAUAUCAAUAAGCGGAGGAAAAGAAACCAACAGGGAUUGCCCCAGUAACGGCGAGUGAAGCGGCAACAGCUCAGAUUUGGAAUCUGGCCCCCAGGGCCCGAGUUGUAAUCUGGAGAGGAUGCUUCUGGCGCGGCGCCUUCCGAGUUCCCUGGAACGGGACGCCGGAGAGGGUGAGAGCCCCGUACGGUUGGACGCCUAGCCUUUGUGAAGCUCCUUCGACGAGUCGAGUAGUUUGGGAAUGCUGCUCAAAAUGGGAGGUAAAUUUCUUCUAAAGCUAAAUACCGGCCAGAGACCGAUAGCGCACAAGUAGAGUGAUCGAAAGAUGAAAAGCACUUUGAAAAGAGGGUCAAACAGUACGUGAAAUUGUUGAAAGGGAAGCGCCCGUGGCCAGACUUGUGCCCCGCGGACCACCCGGCGCCCUCAGCGCCGGUGCACUCCGCGGGGCGCAGGCCAGCAUCGGUUUUCCUAGGGGGAUAAAGGCGGCGGGAACGUGGCUCCUUCGGGAGUGUUAUAGCCCGUCGUGCCAUGCCCCUGGGGGGACCGAGGACCGCGCUUCGGCAAGGAUGCUGGCGUAAUGGCCACCGGCGACCCGUCUU